CUGGUAACUAAUCUUGCGAYUGAAAAUAUACGAAAGUUGUUUGUGUCAGGAUAGAGGUAAAAACCGGCUAAAAGUUCUUAAAAUAAGCUGGGAAUUGAAUUAUUAUGAGCUACCCUCCUCCUUAUCCACAACAGCAGUCCCCCUAUCCAAGYGCUCCACCACCUGGUGGACCACCGCCAGUUGGGUAUGAAGGUUAUCAACAAGGCCCACCUCCUGGAUACAGCCAAGGACCAUAUCCAGGACCACAAUAUGCACCACCACAGUAUGGUCCUCCAGGGGGACAAUAUGGACCRCCAGCUGGACAGUAUGGACCACCAGGGGGYACSGUAUAUACACAACAACCUAAYACAGUUUAUGUUUACGAAGAACGGAAAAGAGAUACAAGUGGCGAAGAAUGCUUUAUGUGGGGUUUAUGUGCAGCUUGUUUGUGCUGCUGUCUGAUGAGUGACUAGCGUUUUAAUCAUCUUUUUUAUUWCACACUCUUUCAGUGUGUUAUAAUGUAUUAUAUUAUAGACAAUGAAAAUCAAAGCCAUCAUAGCGAAAUGUUGAAUUAUUUAAAGACAAUUAUAUUACCAAAACUGCAGUAUUGCAGUUAUUGCACAUUGCCGCUGUAUAAUAGUGAUAUUAGAAUGGAUAUUAGCAACAGCAAUAUUUCAAAACCUAGCUAUUAUAUUGAAAUGUUAAGUCGGUAUAACUAGACAAUUAUAUAUCAGUCAGCAGAAAUUGCAGUAUUCGUUCAAGUAUUGCAUGUAAACGACUGUAUCAUACUAAAUGCACAAAUAGCUUGUAUACAGGCCACGAAAGUUAGUAAUUAUCAGUAUGUUAAAAUUACUCCAACUUUGAAAUUUUUUUUUAUCUGCUCAUUUCUUUACUAUGAAAAAAACUAUUUGAUUUAAAGCUAUUUACAAAUACAGAAGUAAUUUCUUCUGUUUACUCAAAAAAUAUAGUCAGAUUUUAUAAUUUUCAAUUUUGGUGAUCAACAAAUUAAUAAUCACACAUAGAAGUUUUUGAUUAUCACACAGAUGGAAGUUUGAAUGUCCAAUAUUGUAUUGCUAUGAUAUGUGUAGACCAAAGUUCAUAGUACAGUGUAUGAUUACUGUACCUAAGCUAGCACAGCUGAACAAGCUGCUGAAUGAGUUUAGAAACAAUGAUAUAACGAAUGAAAUAUGCCUUAGUAUUGUAUUUAACACUUAAAAGUGUUUUAUAGGCGAAUACGCAUCACUGUUUAUAAAAAUUAUGAAGAGGAAUAAACUGUCCUGUUUAGUUUA
RNA transcript from Exaiptasia diaphana, 1268 nucleotides. RefSeq lists it as uncharacterized. The transcript has 2 exons. The record is from RefSeq and is a predicted model, not a curated record. NCBI's taxonomy places the organism in Eukaryota, Metazoa, Cnidaria, Anthozoa, Actiniaria, Aiptasiidae.